AAGAAAAAAGCCACCAGGUGGCUUGAGGAGAUGGUAGGGCAUAAAGUGGCAUACAAACCAGAAUUUUUUCUUCUUGGAAUUAUAACAGAAAAAUACAAUAAAGAAGAGAUCUAUUUAAUGAUACAUGUGAUUAUGGCAGCAAGACUAACUUUUGCUCAAACGUGGAAAGACAAAGAAAUUCUCUAGGAAAAUG
This is a non-coding RNA of Notechis scutatus (mainland tiger snake), 193 nucleotides long. The record is from RefSeq and is a predicted model, not a curated record. NCBI's taxonomy places the organism in Eukaryota, Metazoa, Chordata, Lepidosauria, Squamata, Elapidae.